RNAcentral lists this long non-coding RNA (6887 nucleotides) under Podarcis lilfordi (Lilford's wall lizard). The record is from RNAcentral. Lineage: Eukaryota; Metazoa; Chordata; Lepidosauria; Squamata; Lacertidae.
GUUCUAUUGAUUGACAGAAGAGCAGUUAACUGACAGUGGAGAGAAAAAUUGGUGGUGCUGUCAUGUGACUCAUGGCUACCUGUGUGGGAUUAACUCAGGAUAACCGUCAGAAGCUCUGAAGAUCCAAACCCUCCUUAGCAGUAGGUCUACCAAGUCACGAAAUCGUAAUAAGCAGGAGAAACAUUCCAGUCUUUUCCGCCUUCCACAGAGAACCUGUAGCCUUAUGAGGCUUUCCCUUGGGUGGGAAAAAUAUUGUGCCUGGGAAAGGGAAGUGGGAGUCAACAGACACUCAAGGAAUAGUUUCGGAGAAAAGGCUUUUUAUUUCUACCAUCCAUGAACUGGUAGAAGGAGCAAGUGUGAUAAGUCACAAAAAGCAUGCACGAGUUCACAAUCAUGUGCACAAGCAUAUAUACCCCUUUCCAGUUCCCUCCCCCUUUCUCCUCCCUCAGGAGGUCCUCUGAGCAUGAACAGAAAGCUGUCUUGGGACUAUUGUGGACUCUUGGCACCCUUCCCAGGAAAGGGGUUUCAGAGUGUUCAGAUAUAGAAUAGAAUAGAAUCAUAGAGUUGGAAGAGACCACAAGGGCCAUCGAGUCCAACCCCCUGCCAAGCAGGAAACACCAUCAGAGCACUCCUGACAUAUGGUUGUCAAGCCUCUGCUUAAAGACCUCCAAAGAAGGAGACUCCACCACACUCCUUGGCAGCAAAUUCCACUGUCAAACAGCUCUUACUGUCAGGAAGUUCUUCCUAAUGUUUAGGUGGAAUCUUCUUUCUUGUAGUUUGGAUCCAUUGCUCCGUGUCCGCUUCUCUGGAGCAGCAGAAAACAACCUUUCUCCCUCCUCUAUGUGACAUCCUUUUAUAUAUUUGAACAUGGCUAUCAUAUCACCCCUUAACCUCCUCUUCUCCAGGCUAAACAUGCCCAGCUCCCUUAGCCGUUCCUCAUAAGGCAUCGUUUCCAGGCCUUUGACCAUUUUGGUUGCUCUCCUCUGGACACGUUCCAGUUUGUCAGUGUCCUUCUUGAACUGUGGUGCCCAGAACUGGACACAGUACUCCAGGUGAGGUCUGACCAGAGCAGAAUACAGUGGCACUAUUACUUCCCUUGAUCUAGAUGCUAUACUCCUAUUGAUGCAGCCCAGAAUUGCAUUGGCUUUUUUAGCUGCCGCGUCACCCUGUUGGCUCAUGUCAAGUUUGUGGUCAACCAAGACUCCUAGAUCCUUUUCACAUGUACUGCUCUCAAGCCAGGUGUCACCCAUCUUGUAUUUGUGCCUCUCAUUUUUUUGCCCAAGUGCAAUACUUUACAUUUCUCCCUGUUAAAAUUCAUCUUGUUUGUUUUGGCCCAGUUCUCUAAUCUGUCAAGGUCGUUUUGAAGUGUGAUCCUGUCCUCUGGGGUGUUAGCCACCCCUCCCAAUUUGGUGUCAUCUGCAAAUUUGAUCAGGAUGCCCUUGAGUCCAUCAUCCAAGUCGUUGAUAAAGAUGUUGAAUAAGACCGGGCCCAAGACAGAACCCUGUGGCACCCCACUAGUCACUCUUCUCCAGGAUGAAGAGGAACCAUUGAUGAGCACCCUUUGGGUUCGGUCAGUCAGCCAGUUACAAAUCCACUGAGUGGUAGCAUAGUCAAGACCGCAUUUUACCAGCUUCUUUACAAGAAUAUCAUGAGGCACAUUGUCAAAUGCCUUGCUGAAAUCAAGGUAGGCUACAUCCACUGCGUUCCCUUCAUCUACCAGGCUUGUAAUUCUGUAAAAAAAGAGAUCAGGUUAGUCUGACAUGACUUAUUUUUCAGAAAUCCAUGCUGACUAUUGGUGAUCACAGCAUUCCUUUCUAGGUGCUCACAGACUGUUUGCUUAAUGAUCUGCUCCAGAAUCUUCCCUGGUAUUGAUGUCAGACUGACUGGGCGGUAAUUAUUUGGGUCCUCUCUUUCCCUUUUUGAAAAUAGGGACAACAUUUGCCCUCCUCCAGUCUGCCGGGACUUCGCCUGUUCUCCAGGAAUUCUCAAAGAUGACUGCCAGUGGUUCUGAGAUCACAUCUGCCAGUUCUUUUAAUACUCUUGGAUGCAGUUCAUCUGGCCCUGGAGACUUGAAUACAUCUAAACUAGCCAAGUAUUAUUGUACUAUCUCCUUAGUUAUUCUGGGCUGUGUUUCCUUUGCUGAAUCAUUUGCUCCAAAUUCUUCAGGUCGGGCAUUGUUUUCUUUAUCGGAGAAGACUGAGGCAAAGAAGGCAUUGAGGAGUUCAGCCCUUUCUGUGUCCCCUGUUUGCAUUUCACCAUCUUCUCCUCUGAGUGACCCCACUGUUUCUUUGUUCUUUCUUUUGCUACGGACAUACCCAUAAAAGCCUUUUUUGUUGCUUUUAACCUGUCUAGCAAGCCUGAGUUCAUUCUGUGCUUUAGCUUUUCUGACUUUGUGUCUACACGUGCUGGCUAUUUGUUUGAAUUCCUCUUUGGUGGUUUCCCCCCUUUUCCAUUUUUUGUACACAUCCUUUUUAAUCUUAACUCAGUUAAAAGUUCUUUAGAUAGCCACCCUGGCUUCUUUAGGCACCUUCCAUGUUUCCGUCUCAUUGGUAUUGCCUGACGUUGUCCUUUUAGUAUCUCCCUCUUAACAAACUCCCAGCCAUCAUGAACUCCCUUUCCUUUUAGUAUUACUGUCCAUGGGAUCUCACCCAGCACUUCCCUAAGUUUUAGGAAGUCGGCUUUCUUAAAGUCAAGAAAUUGAGUCCUAGUAUGCUUGGCUGCUCCUUUCCGCUGUAUAGUAAACUUCAGAAGAGCAUGAUCACUCGCGCCUAAUGAUCCUUCCACUUCUACCCCACUAACCAGGUCAUCAACAUUGGUUAGGACCAGAUCUAAAAUGGCUGUUCCUCUUGUUGCUUCUCCCACUUUCUGGACAAUGAAGUUGUCUGCAAGGCCAGUGAGGAAUCUGUUUGACCUUAUGCUCUUGGCUGAGUUUGACAUCCAACAAAUAUCCGGGUAAUUGAAGUCCCCCAUUACUACUAUCUCCCUUCCUUUUGCAUGCUUGGCCAUUUGUUCCAGGAAGGCAUCAUCUAUGUCCUCCGUUUGGCUUGGGGAUCUAUAGUAAACUCCCACAAUGAGGUCACUGUUAUUCUUCUCUCCCUUAAUUUUGACCCAAAUGCUCUCACUUUGGCUUUGAGGUUCUAAAUCUUGGAUCUCUUCACAGGUAUACACAUCCCUGACAUAUAACGCCACUCCUCCUCCUUUCUUAUCUGGUCUGUUUCUCUGAAAUAGAUUGUAUCCCCCCCCAUUAUUACAUUCCAAUCGUGGGACUUAUCCCACCAGGUUUCAGUGAUGCCUAUUAUGUCAUAUUUAGUUUGCUGUACCAAGAGCUCAAGCUCAUCUUGUUUAUUUCCUAUGCUUUGCGCAUUAGUGUACAGACAUUGAAGUCCAUUAAUCAUUCCCCCGUGUCUCUUAUUUAAGGAUUUUUUCCUCCCACCACUAGGUCUGUGUGCUGUUUGCUCCAUUUGGUCUAUGACAUUUGGAUGAUCAUCUUCAUCAAUUGAUAGACUCCUACCUUCAGGAGCACUGUCUCCCUCCCCCACAUUAGUCAGUUUAAAGCCCUCCUGAUGAGGUUUCUGAGAUAUGUUUCAAUCUCUUGUUCUGGCAUGGUUCCCGGACAGAAAGUAAGUUGCAAUGUGGUUCUUUAGCAAGGCCAGAAGGCAUGAGUAAGGCCUGAAAAUCAAUGGACUGUUCUCUACCUUGGUUACAGCAGAGCGGAAUGUUUCUGAUGCUUAACUGCUGAGAAAAUGAUUUUGAAAAGUUUUGAGAAGCUUUGAGCCUGCUUUGGUGGGGGGGGGUGACUUCGGGCCUAGGUGAGGUCACCUGUCCUCACCUUCCUUCAAACCGAUUGCCUUUCCCUGUUUCCUGAAGGACCCUUCGCAGUACGGAGACGAUGCAAACAGCAUUGAUCCCAUGCAGCGGCAUUUAAUAGUUGAAACGAAUAGCUUAAUUGUGCAGUCGUUUUCAGUGCGCGUUGGAUGGCUGGGAUUAUAGGCAGAACUAUUACAUUUUUAUGAACUCGUAAACUCUGGGAGUCCAGGCUGCAGCAUAAAGAUGCUUCCAUUUCCAGUACAGGUUAAUAAGUAACUCACACCCUUUUGUCGCUCGCCAUUUCGCCCGAAAAGUUUAUAUUGUAACGCAUUUAAAUGAACCGCUUAGUGCUGGUCUGAAGGAUUACAUCUAUGUAGACCAAUGGUUAAUAGUGAAAAAGAAAUCAAACUAAGGUGAGAUGAUUUUUUAAAAAAGUUCCUAUUGCUAGAUCGUUCUCUGCACAAAAGCCCCCGGGGAUUAGCUUUGUUUGAAGAUUAUUUGCAUUUAAAUUGCAAAGAUAUAUUACACUUCAUAUAUUUUAUGAAUGAGGUUAAAAGCUUAAAGCCAUUGCUUACAUAUUUCCUUAAACACUAAGGUUACCAAAGUGCUUUGAAUUCUGUCUCGGAGGAGAUAUCGGCCGGCGCAUUUCUCCUGAAAUGACGAAGGGCAAAGAAGAGGCAAAUUGUCCCCUCCCUACAAUGUGAGAUCAGCAAUGAGGUGUGGAUGCCACUGCCAGGGGUUAAAUAUAUUAUUUUUUAGUACUAAAGGUGGUUGGGUUGGUUUUUUUAAUGAAAUCUGUGGGAGCAAAAACCUGUCACUUGAAGUUGUGAUGGUUCAAUUGAUGUUUGAUGCCUAGUGAAAAUGGGUUAUUCCUCUCCCCCUGCCCCAGUAAAUGCUAAAUGUGUGAAUGUGGGGGGGGGGGAGAUUCUCAUCAGGAUCACAGAUGCGAUGGGAAGGUUUAAAUUGCAUCUCCUCUUAUAUGCCAAAGUCUUGAUGAGAAUUGGGUGGGGACCAUUAGACAACCAUGUUAUUGUUGUUUAGUCGUGUCCGACUCUUCGUGACCCCAUGGACCAGAGCACGCCAGGCACUCCUGUCUUCCACUGCCUCCCGCAGUUUGGUCAAACUCAUGUUGGUAGCUUCGAGAACACUGUCCAACCAUCUCAUCAUCUGUCGUCCCCUUCUCCUUGUGCCCUCAAUCUUUCCCAACAUCAGGGUCUUUUCCAGGGAGUCUUCUCUUCUCAUGAGGUGGCCAAAGUAUUGGAGCCUCAGCUUCAGGAUCUGUCCUUCCAGUGAGCACUCAGGGCUGAUUUACUUAAGAAUGGAUAGGUUUGAUCUUCUUGCAGUAAAUAAAUUCAGUGACAGAAUAUAGAGCAUGACAAUACGGCCCAAUUUCUCUCCUUCUCCCCAUUCUGUCCCAGCUUGAAAAUCUUACGUGAACUGCUGUCAAAACUCUAAAUUCCAGCCCCUGAUCUGGGAGAAGGCAUAGAUUCAUGCGAUUUUCGUGUAGCUCAGGAGCCAACGGAUUGAUGGCACCAUGUCUGUUUCAACAGGUGACAGGCGUCAAAUGCUGGUGGAGAAUUCUUGUGGGAACAGAAUGAAUUUGGCGCUUUGGGCAAGGAGGGGGCAGGUCUCAAUGCAAGAAUAAUUUGUAGCACCCCUUUUGUCCCUUUGCUUAUGUGCCAUUGUUUCAUCCACAGGGUCAUUUAAUUCCGGCAUGGAUUUCUGGGGAAGGAAGUCAAACGCGCUCCCAAAGGCGAAAAGCAUUUUGAAAUAUGGCAAAAAGGUACAUGCACCACUUACCUCACUGAUGUUGAAGUGAAAGUCUAGUUUAUGUUCCAUUGUUUCAUCAACAGGGUCACUCAAUUCUGCCACUGUUUUCUUGGAUCACAUGCUUUGUGAAUUUUAUAGCAUGUCUUUUCUUGUGGCUGUGCUGUUUAAUGUGUUUUUUGUUUUGUUAGUAGUUUUUGUUUAGUUAGUUUCUUUUAUAGAAGGUGGUUGUUUUACUGAUUUGUUAAUCGUUUUAUAUCAUUUAUAGUGCAGUAGUGAUGUUCCGCCAUGUUAUUUAUUGUAUAUAAGCAGCUUUGUGACUCGUGAGUGAAAAGUGGUGUAGAAAUAGAAUAAAUAAAAUUAAUGAAAUGAAAUUGAGUAGUCUCCACAUCAGCUUUCUCCAAUUUGCAAUGUGUCACAGUCCAGUUCAUGGGCGAUCGAAGUCCUGGCUGGGGAUGUCAGGACCAGGGGGCAAGAUGGCGGGGUGGAGGUAGGAACAGGAGUCCAGAAGCCAGGAGUCAGAAAGCCAAGAGACCGAGGGUCAGAGAGCCGGGAGUCAACAAGCCAAGGGUCCGAGGGUCAGGAAGCAAGGAGUCACAAAGUCAAGGGUCUGAGGGUCAAGAAGCAAGGAGUCACAAAGUCAGGGGUCCAAGGAUCAAGAGGCAAGGAGUCACAAAGUCAGGGGUCCAAGAAUCAAGAAGCAAGGAGUCAAACGCAGCAAGGCAGGGAACGUGUUGCUGUGGCAAAGAGCCUAAGGGAAAAUGCUGACCUUAUAUCCCUUCCUGGCUCUUGCCACCAGGUGCUGUGAGUUACCAAUCGGCCUCACUUGUGUGGCCAUGCCUUGCCUCUUCAGAACAAACUUAGGAAGGCCCCAGUCCUGCAGAGUCCUAUUGGUCACAGCGCCUGGCUCCUGCACACACACCUGACACAAUGUGACCAUGGACCCAAGAAAGGUGGUGACUCCUGUGUUGGAGUGUCAGACCAGGGAGACCAGGGUUCAAGACCCCACUAAUGCAUGAAAGCUUAAAGGUGACCUUGGUUGCUCGCUGUCUCUUAGCCUACCCUAGCUCAGAAUUUUCGUGACAAUUAAAUAAAGACCUUGAGCUCCUUGAAGGAAAAGUGUAAUAAUAAAAACAAUUGUCUUUUCUCUUCCAGGUAGAUGAUCUUAUCAUUGAAGGCUUGGGGGCAGCAGCAAGGCCAGAUUAAGGUGGCUUGGGGGCCUGAUUCAGUACUCCAGAAAGAGUUCCCCCUUCCAGCUUAAUCACAAAUUUGUGACAUUUUGGUUGAUCCUAAUAAAGGUAUCUAUAAACUUA